Molecule: ribosomal RNA, 271 nt
Filed under: uncultured bacterium
Lineage: Bacteria
Description: partial 16S ribosomal RNA
Rfam family: Bacterial small subunit ribosomal RNA
Source: RNAcentral
AACGUAGGAGGCGAGCGUUAUCCGGAUUUACUGGGCGUAAAGCGUGCGCAGGCGGUGAUGUAAGACAGAUGUGAAAUCCCCGGGCUCAACCUGGGAACUGCAUUUGUGACUGCAUCGCUGGAGUGCGGCAGAGGGGGAUGGAAUUCCGCGUGUAGCAGUGAAAUGCGUAGAUAUGCGGAGGAACACCGAUGGCGAAGGCAAUCCCCUGGGCCUGCACUGACGCUCAUGCACGAAAGCGUGGGGAGCAAACAGGAUUAGAAACCCCAGUAGU